AAACCAUCGAUUUCAAUAGGUCGUUGAAUACAGGGUUUUGAAAGAAUAAAACCUUCAUCAACAGGUUGUUUGGAAGUAGAAGGAAUAUCAGCGGAAUUAAUUUUUGCACUAAGCUGGGUUACCAGAACAAUAAGUUCAUCGAGUUUGGUAUCCAGAGAGGAAAUAUGUUCACCGAGAACUUUAACAUAAAGACUUAAAUAAUUAUUUUGAGAUAUAAGGUUAUUUAUUUCAGAGACAGUAAUUUUUCCGACAUCGUCAUGAAUAAAUUUUUGAAAGGCUGAAAAAGUCAUGCCUGUGUUAUUUGGGAGAAU
This 311-nucleotide long non-coding RNA is filed under the name Capsicum annuum. RNAcentral describes it as "long non-coding RNA (CANN_LNC001449)". The record is from RNAcentral. Lineage: Eukaryota; Viridiplantae; Streptophyta; Magnoliopsida; Solanales; Solanaceae.